Molecule: RNase P RNA, 287 nt
Filed under: Escherichia coli
Lineage: Bacteria; Pseudomonadati; Pseudomonadota; Gammaproteobacteria; Enterobacterales; Enterobacteriaceae
Description: partial RNase P RNA component class A
Rfam family: Bacterial RNase P class A
About the family: Ribonuclease P (RNase P) is a ubiquitous endoribonuclease, found in archaea, bacteria and eukarya as well as chloroplasts and mitochondria. Its best characterised activity is the generation of mature 5'-ends of tRNAs by cleaving the 5'-leader elements of precursor-tRNAs.
Source: RNAcentral
GAAGCUGACCAGACAGUCGCCGCUUCGUCGUCGUCCUCUUCGGGGGAGACGGGCGGAGGGGAGGAAAGUCCGGGCUCCAUAGGGCAGGGUGCCAGGUAACGCCUGGGGGGGAAACCCACGACCAGUGCAACAGAGAGCAAACCGCCGAUGGCCCGCGUAAGCGGGAUCAGGUAAGGGUGAAAGGGUGCGGUAAGAGCGCACCGCGCGGCUGGUAACAGUCCGUGGCACGGUAAACUCCACCCGGAGCAAGGCCAAAUAGGGGUUCAUAAGGUACGGCCCGUACUGAA